RNAcentral lists this ribosomal RNA (397 nucleotides) under uncultured bacterium. RNAcentral describes it as "bacterial SSU rRNA". It matches the Rfam family "Bacterial small subunit ribosomal RNA", at positions 975 to 1368 of the family's 1533-position model. The record is from RNAcentral.
CAGGAUUCGACAUGCCCUCUAUGGACGCUUGAAAGAGAGUCCUUCACUUCGGGUGGGAGGAGCACAGGUGCUGCAUGGCUGUCGUCAGCUCGUGUCGUGAGAUGUUGGGUUAAGUCCCGCAACGAGCGCAACCCUCGUCCUCUGUUGCUAACAGGUAAUGCUGAGAACUCUGAGGAAACUGCCGGUGAUAAGCCGGAGGAAGGUGGGGAUGACGUCAAGUCCUCAUGGCCCUUACAUCCUGGGCUACACACGUGUUACAAUGGCGGUGACAAUGAGCUGCGACCCCGCAAGGGAUAGCUAAUCUCAAAAAGCCGCCUCAGUUUGGAUUGUACUCUGCAACUCGAGUACAUGAAAUUGGAAUCGCUAGUAAUCGUAGAUCAGCAUGCUACGGUGAAUA